CCUACGGGUGGCAGCAGUAGGGAAUAUUGGUAAUCUGGGAAACCGGGAACCAGCAACGCCGCGUGCGCGAUGAAGGCCUUCGGGUUGUAAAGCGCUUUUUGAGAGGAUGAGGAAGGACAGUACUCUUAGAAUAAGCCUCGGCUAACUACGUGCCAGCAGCCGCGGUAAU
Molecule: ribosomal RNA, 169 nt
Filed under: uncultured Chloroflexota bacterium
Lineage: Bacteria; Bacillati; Chloroflexota
Description: uncultured Chloroflexi bacterium partial 16S ribosomal RNA
Rfam family: Bacterial small subunit ribosomal RNA
Source: RNAcentral